CAAUCGGCCCUUUUCGGGGCUAAUAAAUGUGCUCUAAAAAGUUAUUU
Molecule: non-coding RNA, 47 nt
Organism: Aedes aegypti (yellow fever mosquito)
Lineage: Eukaryota; Metazoa; Arthropoda; Insecta; Diptera; Culicidae
Source: Rfam